UAGGAUAGAGGGACGCGGAGAAAGAGGAGAGUAGGGUGCUCUGGAAGUACCAGGUAUUUGGCGUAGAUGGAAGACGAGAUGCGGAUAGGUGUAACGUAGGGAGUGGAGCGGUCAGAGGACCUGGUACCGAACAGGCGCUACGAUGGACGUACAGCAGCUAUUGGAGCUGGGGCCACGCCGGCGUGACGGCGGACGUGCAACGGCCAGCCGAGCUGGGGUCGCGCCGGCGCGACGGCGGACGUGCAGCGACCAUCGGGACUGGGGCCACGUGCGCACGACAGUGGACGUGAAGUAGCCAACGGAGCUGGUACCACGCCGGCGCGACGGCGGACGUGCAAAGGGCAUCGAAGCUGGGACUACGCGGGUGCGAUGGCGAACGAGUAGAGGUAGGUGAUGUCACGACGUCACUCAUGAGGUCACCAGUUCUACCUACAAGUAGUGUUGGUAAAUGGUGGUACACCUUGGUCUUCAAGUCAGUCACCAAGUUUUCUCUUCCUCAUCUAAGUCUACAGCACAAGUUUAAGCUCUAUCUGAGGAGACGUGUGUCUGAUUACCCCACCGACAGGAAAGUCUUCUUCCCCUAUUAUUAACCAUUAUGUUAUCUUAUAAUACGGUAUAACUGUCUCUAUCAGCUCGACGUUAUAAAUCUACCUUCCGCACACUGUAAUAAGGCAACGUUGAUCUAACUACAUAAAUUGUUUCUCGUACCUUACUUCAUUCUGUUGUUCUUACCUUAGCAAUCCGAAUUGGACGUCACAAACGAAAUCUGUCUACUCGGAAAGUAAGACCUAUCGUUUCAAAUUUUUUUAUAAUAAUUCCUGUUUGAAUAUUUUCCUACCGUGUGUUAACACUUUUUUUAGGUAGUGCAGUACGAAUAUUACAUAGUGUACCUGUCAGGCUACUAUAUGGGAGACUUGGACUUGGACUGUUAUCGCUGCUUCUACUGAAGAAAGUUUUUAAUUGUUGUUGCAGUACAUCUUUCUCUUGUUGUACUCCGGUGAUCAAAUAAGUUCAGAAUUAGACAUCAUAAACUAAACGAAGAAUAUAAUCGAAAAUGGAAUAAUUAUUUGUCACUGUGUUCAUCAAGACAUGAAUGAAAUAAACUAAAUCGUAAGUGAGUAAAUUGAAUUUAACAUGAAACAUAUCGGAAACACGUGUGAAGUUGGUUUGCGAUAUAUAUAUCUGUGUGUGUGUGUGUACAAUAGUGUCACUCAGUAGUAUCCAUACCUUUGAACUGUUGUAAUCGAACCCUUUCUACGAAAGUGUCUACUUAUUCAGACCUGACCAUGUGUUUCCGUAACGAUCCGCCUGGAAGUACCUCUUUAGUUCAGUUAAUCGUCUAAAGUCGUCUUUUCCCAAUGGGUGUCCGAGUUUACGUUCUACGCCUUGACACUUUUUUAUGUUCAAUGGAUGUUUUCCAUGAUACAUUUGUAUUUUUAUAAUAAGUCGAUAGAAUAUUAGUUACUAUAUUACACCAAUUAACAAAAGUAUCUACCUUUGCUACGCGAUUGUUUAUGUGGUUAGUACAAAUCAUGUUUAACCCUACGUCCACUAAGGUUUUCACUCAAAGAUACUUACUAGUUCAACUACGGUCGUUACUUUCACUGUACCCUUUAAGUUACCUACUUAAAAUACCAUACAUUUUACAUAAAUAAAGUAGAAAUUAAGUACAUGACACGACCGACUAACCAACAUAUAAAAGUUUGUGACGUUUACCACAUCUACUUAAUUAUCCAUUAUUUUUAGAUCUUUCACUUCUUCACACCCCGUUGGUACCGGAACGUUCCUCAAAAACCAGUCAAGAGUACAACGGAGAAAUAAACUAGAUCAUCAUUUGGAAGAUCUAUCUAUUAAACCCUUAACCAUGUGUUAAAUUGAAGACGACAAAAAUAAGGUUAUUAUAUUCUAGUCAUACCUAUCAGAUAAAAGAUUCUGUGUGUUCUUCCCAUGUUGGAAACAACUAACAUGUUGGAGGCGGUUUGUGCAUUCUGAAUUAAAUUGACAUUAUUGAAGUUAUUACUUGUUGUUCACAUAUUAAGGAUGAAUCUCUAUCUUCAUUGAAUGACAACCACGAGGUUGUUGUUCACAUGUUAAGGAUGAAUCUCUAUCUUCAUUGAAUAACAACCACGAGGUCUGUGUUUGAUUCUGGUAUCAAAUUGAGCUUCUUUUCAAGUUACCGUACCACAUUCUUCAAAGACUUUAAUUCACUGAACACAGACCAUCAAGAGAUUCACUAUCAAGAGUACUUUCGGUUGUACUAGUUCAUUCAACAAUAAUAUGUAACUAAAAUAUACAAUAAUGUGAAACACGGUUAAAUAAGUGUUGCCGACUGAAGGUAUUUGAUGAGUUGUAAAACAUCCUAAGUACCAGGUAGCACUAUAUAUCUUCAUAGUUCAUAGUCCUUCCUCACAUUCUCGACUACUUCUUACCAUAGGUAAGUUUGUUACUACCACAGGGAGCUAACUUCUAUUUAUUUAUAAUACAAAAGAUCAACAGAGCAAAAGGUUUAUCUAUACUAGUUCAGGUAACCAGUAUAUUCCUAACGAAAACUGAGUUUAAAGACUUUACUAUAAAAAGUAUUAACAUACAGCCUUAUAACCAUAAAGAUAGAUAAUUACUUUCUCCGAUACUGGG
RNAcentral lists this ribosomal RNA (2634 nucleotides) under Triticum aestivum (bread wheat). RNAcentral describes it as "partial small subunit ribosomal RNA". Lineage: Eukaryota; Viridiplantae; Streptophyta; Magnoliopsida; Poales; Poaceae. The record is from RNAcentral.